GAUGAACGCUGGCGGCGUGCCUAAUACAUGCAAGUCGAGCGAACAGAUGAGGAGCUUGCUCCUCUGACGUUAGCGGCGGACGGGUGAGUAACACGUGGAUAACCUACCUAUAAGACUGGUAUAACUUCGGGAAACCGGAGCUAAUACCGGAUAAUAUAUUGAACCGCAUGGUUCAAUAGUGAAAGACGGUUUUGCUGUCACUUAUAGAUGGAUCCGCGCCGCAUUAGCUAGUUGGUAAGGUAACGGCUUACCAAGGCAACGAUGCGUAGCCGACCUGAGAGGGUGAUCGGCCACACUGGAACUGAGCCACGGUCCAGACUCCUACGGGAGGCAGCAGUAGGGAAUCUGCCGCAAUGGGCGAAAGCCUGACGGAGCAACGCCGCGUGAGUGAUGAAGGUCUUCGGAUCGUAAAACUCUGUUAUUAGGGAAGAACAAAUGUGUAAGUAACUAUGCACGUCUUGACGGUACCUAAUCAGAAAGCCACGGCUAACUACGUG
This 497-nucleotide ribosomal RNA is filed under the name uncultured bacterium. RNAcentral's name for it is "partial 16S ribosomal RNA". It matches the Rfam family "Bacterial small subunit ribosomal RNA", at positions 28 to 507 of the family's 1533-position model. The record is from RNAcentral.